AUGGACUCUUUGAUCCACCCGGACAACUACUAUGUAGACAAUAUCUUACUUUCAUUGCAAGUGAAAAUGCCAAAAUCAGGCUGGAAGACAAUUAUCGAUGUCAGUAUCAGUCGCUCCGCCAAUAAGUUGAAAAUUCCUUUUUUUCUCUUCUUACUCGGUAAUAAUUUUGGAGUAAAUGAAAGGAAAGUUUCCCCUUUUCAUUGGAAUACGCGAUUAAUUAAAUGUGAGCCCUUAGAAUCAUUUCAGGUCCUACAAUAUCAAACGAAUGAAUUUCCUCUGCUGUUAUUUUUUUUCGUCCACAUCAAGAACAUGCUCGCUUGCUCGCAUGGUUUGAAAAAUUUGAAUCUGGACCUUACAGAACUUUCACAAAAUGUUAGCUUAAACGACAGUGUAGUCUUUUGACACACCUCUUUUUUCUGACUCACAUUUUGGCAUUUUUGCUUGUUCCUUUCUUAUUUUGGUCUCAGCCAAUUAUUGCUAGCAACGAUUUAAAGAUCUUUUAGAUAAUAAUUUGUAACUCCAUUUUUAUAUCUUGAAAUGAUUUUUCAUUUUUACACAAACUUCCCUCAAUAAUGAAAAAUCAUCAUUUGACUUUUGUUUUCGUUUUUUAAUUAUUUUUUGUUUUGUUUUGUUUGAUGAUAUGAAUGUCAUGCCGUUAUUACUCAUUGUUUAUAAUAGUCAUUAUGAAUAAGCAAAAUCAUUAAGCAUCAGUAUAAUAUAUUUUUAUCAAAAGACUCACUCUCAAAGCUAGCUGAAAUCGUUAGUUAUCUUCAAUGACCCACAAUUUUUCACUUUUUUGUACAUUGCUCAAGAGUUUUAAGUAUUUAUUUUAUUAUUUUCAGAGCUUGCUAAUGAUUUUGAAUUCCAUCAAGAAUUUUCUUGCAGUUGAAUAUUGUAACCUUCAUUGAAUGUGCCGGAACUGUUCAUUCAUGGCCUUCUUUUUUUUCAAUUUUCUGCAGUCUUACUAAUCUUUUACUUUCUUCAUACUUUACACUUAGCUUCCUUUUCCGCCCAUCAGUUUUUUAGCAUAUCGUCUCAUAGUUGAUUUCAAUCACAAUUUAUUGCUGGGAAAAUUAAAUAAGAAUUCAAUGCUGAGCAAAUAUUGUUCAAAAUAAUUCAGAUUGAGGACUAAAAUUUUCGGGUGAAAAUCAGUGGGACUGACCUCCUCUGAAGGAACUGACAUCUAUAUAAUGCCUUUUUUUUCUAGUUACAGACACUGUUGCUUUAUCUUCAUAGCUCCGUCUGUGGAUAUAGUCACUGAUCUGAACAGUUUUCCUAUUUGCAGCAGUCCAUAGCUGUUUUUUUUUUAUUUAUUAAUAAUGUAAGUCAAGACAAUCUGUAUGAAUGAAAAUAAAUUGCCGGCCAUUAUGCUGUAGGCACUAGCAUUGUGAAAUUAUCUCUACUUUGUCUAAAACCAUCCUCACAGAACUCUUUUGAUGUAAUUUCCAUGUUUUAUUUCUCUGUAUUUUUGUUUUCACUUUUUCCUAUUACGUGCAAGUUUGGUCAAUUUUUUAAUCACAAAAUACAUAGUCUAGCUUCCUUCGAUUUCCCUCGCUAAAAAGCUCUGUUUUCAAAAUUAGCCACCAAUCUCUUUUGAAAGUAACCUGUCCAUUUCUUUCUCUUUCUUUUUACCCAGGUAAAAUUUUUAUAUGAUACGAUUCAAUUCAAAGUUCAUAUUCCCUGCUUGUUUUAAAUUAAAUUGAUCAUUAUGCUCAAAAGAGAAAAUAAUUGCUAAAACCAGAAGCAAAAAUACUUUUGAAGGAGAUUUAAUUAUUGUUAUGACAGUCCUGUAUUAUAUUACUUCUCCGAAGUACUUAAAACUGGAAUUUUUACCAACUUCUAAUGGUAUUUUUCUUUUUUAAAACAGGUACAAUUUUUAGUUCAUCUUUUUUGAUUUAUUGUCAUACGUGUUAUUAGCAAUAAUAUCGUUUUAAGUUCAUCUGUUCAUUUGUUCCUAGUUCAGUGGACCUGUAAAAAGAAACUUUCAAGUACUUACCAAGUUUCGCCCCCUGAUGAAGGGUUUGUGCAUUGUAAAUUUACAAAGGUAUGUGUUUAUGCGAGAUUUUUAAAGACUGAUUGUAUUGAAAAUCUAAUUUUUCGUUCAUUUUUAAAUUCGUUAUUUAUUUUAGUUUUAGCAGCUCGCUUAUUGAUUAUCCACGGAAUUUUGAAAUCUUAACAGUAACGUGCAUACAAAGAUUACUAUCAUCCAUAAUUUUUAUGUAAAUUUAAAUUCAAUGACUGGCACAAGUAGACCAGAUUUUUUCGUUUUACACAGCGAUUUUUUCUUUUGUAAGUUGAAGGAAUGAAUCUAGAUCAUCUCUUAAUCAGACUGUUUUUGUUAGCUAGCGAGUUCGGUAUUCCACAAAGUGUCGAAGUGCAUAUGCUUAAUCUCUUUGUAAUCCGUCCAAUAACGCCAUAGGCUAAUUUGUCUUCCCUCCAGAUUAGCAUUAUGGGUUUUGGUGUUUGGAUCUAAGAUUUGCCUUAUUUAAAAACAAAAGGAGAAAAAAUACUCAAUACUUUUUCUGUUCCAUGUUGAAUAUAUUUUAAUUAGUUUUUCCUCUAUUUGAAUAAGGGUGGGUAUUAAAAUCUUGAUAUUUUUCUCAUCCUUAUGCAAGUUUUCGUUCUGUUUCUUGUAGACUACCAAUACCUAUAUUGCGGUAGUCUGCUUGUAUCAUAGGCUAAAGACAUUUGAUCAAGAUUCAUACCUUGCAAUUUUACCAAAGUUGAAAGGAAAAAAUCGCUUUUCAUUUUUGCCUAUUUUGUAAAAGUGAAUUACCUUUUGCAAUUAUUUGUUCAUGAAUUGUUUUUGUUUAAAGUCAUCUAUGAACAUGAUUGUCAAUUGACCACUAAGUAGCUCGCUCAUUAUCAGCUGCCAGAUCUAUUAUUGAAUGUACUUAAGUGUCUGAAAAAAACAAACUCAACUAUCCAUUGAAUUGAAACAUCAAUCAAUAAAGUGUUAUAAUUGAUUCCAAUGUACAUAAAUAAAUGUGUGCAUAUGUGAAUGUCAUUUGUAAAUGAUUACAGAACAAUGCCUUCUUUUUUUAAUCUUACUUUGGACCCACCUAUUUGCUUGCAGAAUCAUGCUCGGCUAUUGUUUACCGAUCACUCUUGCUGUAUACUUGCUUCACUGCAUUACAUUGUCAGUUUCAUUUGAUUCUCUCUUAUUUUGUUCUCUUUUUUUUCAAUUAAUUCAUUUGUUCUGUUUUCUCUCUUUGGUUAAUUUCAACUUGUCAAAUUUAUCAUAUAACAAGUAAAACUUUUUCAAUUUGCGUUAAAUGAUUAUUUUUAUUCUUGUCGUUACUUUUUUCAAAAAUUAUGAAAGCAGCCAUUUACAAUCAGGUACAUGCACUCACUCACUAUUACGAUUAGAAGAAUCACUGAAGAUGUUUUUGCAUCAUUAGUUGUCUUUUCUUUGCUUUUUGUUGCUGGUGAUGUGGGAGAACUUUAAUUUCAUG
Molecule: long non-coding RNA, 3455 nt
Filed under: Bemisia tabaci
Lineage: Eukaryota; Metazoa; Arthropoda; Insecta; Hemiptera; Aleyrodidae
Description: lncRNA ENSSWEETPG013468
Source: RNAcentral